RNAcentral lists this long non-coding RNA (1329 nucleotides) under Anolis carolinensis (green anole). RNAcentral describes it as "lncRNA (ENSACAG00000037964.1)". Lineage: Eukaryota; Metazoa; Chordata; Lepidosauria; Squamata; Anolidae. The record is from RNAcentral.
AUGGGAUUGGCUCCUUUUCUUGUUGCUACAUGCCACAAGUGUUUGUUUCACCUAGGCAAAGGAAGGAAGGAAGGAAGGAAGGAAGGAAGGAAGGAAGGAAGGAAGGAAGGAAGGAAGGAAGGAAGGACGGAAGGAAGGAAGGAAGGAGACAACACUUUUUCUCGGCCUGCCCAAUUGCUCUCUUUCAGUAAGAAAAGGAGUUCUGGCACAGGAGGCAAUGAGACAGAAAAUCAAGUCCCCUGAGAAUACAAAAGCAAAGUUUAUUUUCACAUAGCUAUGAGAAGGCGGGACAGCUGUACACCCCAAAAGGUUUGUACUUGCAAAUGGCUGCCACAAAGCAUGAUGUCGUAAACAAAGGGUAUAUAUCUCGGCUUAUCUAAAUUUGACCAAUUACUGAGGGUCUUCUUCACCUCCACACCUCUUUGGCACAAGUGGUGUUUGUGAUCUCACUUGUUGAUCUCAAGCUAGCAUUUGGCCUUGGAACUUUCUGGAGAAAGGUACCAGCUCAAGAGAAACGGAGGGGCACAGGUCCUUUGUUACUUUGGCUCAUACAAAGAGCUUGUUGUCUAUAUAUGAAGCUAAUAUGAUAUAAGCAGAGGCAAAGCUAUAUAUGCAAAAGUCUACUAAUUUCUGGCCCAUGGUUCCUUCAUUACUGUUUUUAUCUUUUAUACUGCGAAUUGUAUUUAUAUUGUUUAUUUCGUCAAUGUUUUUCGGGCCUUUGCCCCAUAUAAGCCGCCCCAAGUCCCCACGGGGAGAUGGUGGCUGGGUAUAAAUAAAGUUUUAUUAUAUUAUUAUUAUUAUUAUUCAGGAAUACACCAUCCAAGCAUUCCUGAUAGUACAGGUUUUCCCCUGAUAUUAAGUCUUAGUGCAGUAGAGUGUCGCUUAUCCAACAUAAAUGGGCCGGCAGAAUGUUGGAUAAGCAAAUAUGUUGGAUAAUAAGGAGGGAUUAAGGAAAAGCCUAUUAAACAUCAAAUUAGGUUAUGAUUUUACAAAUUAAACACCAAAACAUCAUGUUAUAAAACAAAUUUGACAGAAAAAGUAGUUCAAUAUGCAGUAAUGCUAUGUAGUAAUUACUGUAUUUAUGAAUUUAGCACCAAAAUAUCACAAUGUAUUGAAAACAUUGACUACAAAAAUGAGUUGGAUAAUCCAGAAUGUUGGCUAAGCAAAUGUUGGAUAAGUGAGACUCUACUGUACUAUGAUAAAAAUCUUGGGUUGGCUCCAAAAAGGAACUGGGCCAAAGAAAGUGCAAGUAAUGUCAGUUAGAAUCAGGGAGAGGUAGAUACCAGAACUAUUGUCCCAUUAAAGUGCUGGGGAAGGUGUACACGAGGA